AACGAACGCUGGCGGCAGGCCUAACACAUGCAAGUCGAACGCGACCUUCGGGUCGAGUGGCGCACGGGUGAGUAACGCGUGGGAAUCUGCCCUGUGGUACGGAAUAACAUCGGGAAACUGGUGCUAAUACCGUAUAUCCCCUGAGGGGAAAGGAUUUAUCGCCAUAGGAGGAGCCCGCGUAGGAUUAGCUAGUUGGUGGGGUAACGGCCUACCAAGGCGGACGAUCCUUAGCUGGUCUGAGAGGAUGAUCAGCCACACUGGGAC
Molecule: ribosomal RNA, 264 nt
Filed under: uncultured bacterium
Lineage: Bacteria
Description: partial 16S ribosomal RNA
Rfam family: Bacterial small subunit ribosomal RNA
Source: RNAcentral